This is a long non-coding RNA of Acanthopagrus latus (yellowfin seabream), 550 nucleotides long. RefSeq lists it as uncharacterized. The transcript has 3 exons. NCBI's taxonomy places the organism in Eukaryota, Metazoa, Chordata, Actinopteri, Spariformes, Sparidae. The record is from RefSeq and is a predicted model, not a curated record.
CAUUAGCUUAAAAAUUGAAUUGCAUAAACUAAUGAAAUUGCAGUAAGAAAACAGGAACUCUAUCUGACUGUGGGUUUAGCUGUUAACUAGGUUAGCUCUUUUAGCUCCAUAAGAGCACACCACCAGCUGCUAACAGCUAACAAGCUCUCCUCCUGCUGAUUACAACACAGAUUUGUUCUUCACAGUCUAGACUAGCUACCUUGUUGAAGACCCACCAACAAGGACCCACUGGAUGAUCAUCAGGCUGCGAUCCGCAUCAUUUCGGGUUAGAAGAAAACAACAGCCCUGAGCUGUUAGAUGAUGAGCGCUUGUCUGUUUGCCUAUCAUUGGUCGCUGGAAGCCAGUUUUGACAAGCACGAAGCCUCCAGGAGAUGCCCGGGACCACACACUGUCGUCUGUCUUUACAACUUCAGGCUCACGGUGCAGUAAAUGAAUAACAACCAAACAACAGCAGCGAAACUGAUCAAGGGACGCAUAAUCAAUGAUUUUGUGAAUAAUUUCCAGGUUGAGACGCAUGAUCAACGAAACGGAUGAUUGCCUGCUUGGACGA